UAUACGUGAUCUGAUUUCAGACCGGACCUCCCGUGUUUAUAAAAAAUAUAUGCGUGCUGUGAUUUCAGACGACCCCCCCUGUAUUGUAACUGUCUCUUUUACGACUUUUGAAUUCCACUUCUGGGUGAAAAGGCUCAGAUGAAUUUGGAGGACGAUCAGACCCUAAAGAGCUUGAAUUUUCCUGACCCUUGUCUUAAUUGAUGUGAUAAGAAAGUGUUCUGAAGGUUUUAGUUGGGGCGACAAAGAGAAUAAAAUAACACUCUUUUUAUUUACCACUUAUUAGUGAAUAAUUGAUCCCUAAUGCGGGAUUAAAAGACUAAGUUACCUUAGGGAUAACAGCGUAAUAUUCUUGGAGAGUUCUUAUCGAUAAGAAAGUUUGCGACCUCGAUGUUGGAUUAAGAAAUUGGUGAGGUGCAGAAGCUUCACAGGAAAGUCUGUUCGACUUUUAAUAUCUUACGUGAUCUGAGUUCAGACCGGA
RNAcentral lists this ribosomal RNA (478 nucleotides) under Evadne nordmanni. RNAcentral describes it as "partial 16S ribosomal RNA". The stretch from base 120 to 478 matches the Rfam family "Bacterial large subunit ribosomal RNA", at positions 2048 to 2620 of the family's 2925-position model. The record is from RNAcentral. Lineage: Eukaryota; Metazoa; Arthropoda; Branchiopoda; Diplostraca; Podonidae.